RNAcentral lists this ribosomal RNA (509 nucleotides) under uncultured bacterium. RNAcentral's name for it is "bacterial SSU rRNA". It matches the Rfam family "Bacterial small subunit ribosomal RNA", at positions 956 to 1466 of the family's 1533-position model. The record is from RNAcentral.
GCAACGCGAAGAACCUUACCAGGUCUUGACAUCCCACUGACUGCCUUAGAGAUAAGGCUUCCCUUCGGGGCAGUGGUGACAGGUGGUGCAUGGUUGUCGUCAGCUCGUGUCGUGAGAUGUUGGGUUAAGUCCCGCAACGAGCGCAACCCUUAUCUUUAGUUGCCAGCAUUCAGUUGGGCACUCUAGAGAGACUGCCGUCGACAAGACGGAGGAAGGCGGGGAUGACGUCAAAUCAUCAUGCCCCUUAUGACCUGGGCUACACACGUGCUACAAUGGUUGGUACAACGGGAUGCUAGCUCGCGAGAGUACGCCAAUCUCUUAAAACCAAUCUCAGUUCGGAUUGUAGGCUGCAACUCGCCUACAUGAAGUCGGAAUCGCUAGUAAUCGCGGAUCAGCAUGCCGCGGUGAAUACGUUCCCGGGCCUUGUACACACCGCCCGUCACACCACGAGAGUUUGCAACACCCGAAGUCAGUGAGGUAACCGCAAGGAGCCAGCCGCCGAAGGUGGG